This 2288-nucleotide ribosomal RNA is filed under the name Acinetobacter baumannii 44467_7. RNAcentral's name for it is "bacterial LSU rRNA". It matches the Rfam family "Bacterial large subunit ribosomal RNA", at positions 657 to 2925 of the family's 2925-position model. Lineage: Bacteria; Pseudomonadati; Pseudomonadota; Gammaproteobacteria; Moraxellales; Moraxellaceae. The record is from RNAcentral.
AUAGGGGAGCCGUAGAGAAAUCGAGUCUUAAUAGGGCGUUUAGUUGCUGGGUAUAGACCCGAAACCAGGCGAUCUAUCCAUGAGCAGGUUGAAGGUUGGGUAACACUAACUGGAGGACCGAACCCACUGUCGUUGAAAAGCCAGGGGAUGACUUGUGGAUAGGGGUGAAAGGCUAAUCAAGCCUGGUGAUAGCUGGUUCUCCCCGAAAGCUAUUUAGGUAGCGCCUCGGACGAAUACCAUAGGGGGUAGAGCACUGUUUCGGCUAGGGGGUCAUCCCGACUUACCAAACCGAUGCAAACUCCGAAUACCUAUGAGUACUAUCCGGGAGACAGACUGCGGGUGCUAACGUCCGUAGUCAAGAGGAAAACAAUCCAGACCGCCAGCUAAGGCCCCAAAAUCAUAGUUAAGUGGGAAACGAUGUGGGAAGGCAUAGACAGCUAGGAGGUUGGCUUAGAAGCAGCCACCCUUUAAAGAAAGCGUAAUAGCUCACUAGUCGAGUCGGCCUGCGCGGAAGAUGUAACGGGGCUAAAACUAUGUGCCGAAGCUGCGGAUGUAUACUUUGUAUACGUGGUAGGGGAGCGUUCUGUAAGCCGAUGAAGGUGUGUUGAGAAGCAUGCUGGAGGUAUCAGAAGUGCGAAUGCUGACGUGAGUAACGACAAAACGGGUGAAAAACCCGUUCGCCGAAAGACCAAGGGUUCCAGUCCAACGUUAAUCGGGGCUGGGUGAGUCGACCCCUAAGGCGAGGCCGAAAGGCGUAGUCGAUGGGAAAAUGGUUAAUAUUCCAUUACUUCUGUGUAAUGCGAUGAGAGGACGGAGAAGGCUAAAUCAGCCUGGCGUUGGUUGUCCAGGUGAAAGGAUGUAGGCAUGUAUCUUAGGCAAAUCCGGGGUACUCUAUGCUGAGAUCUGAUAGCAAGCUGUACUUGUACAGCGAAGUGGUUGAUGCCAUGCUUCCAGGAAAAGUCUCUAAGCUUCAGUUACACAGGAAUCGUACCCGAAACCGACACAGGUGGUCAGGUCGAGUAGACCAAGGCGCUUGAGAGAACUCUGCUGAAGGAACUAGGCAAAAUGGUACCGUAACUUCGGGAGAAGGUACGCUGUUGUUGGUGAUGGAACUCGCUUCCUGAGCUGACGACAGCCGCAGAAACCAGGCCGCUGCAACUGUUUAUUAAAAACAUAGCACUCUGCAAACACGAAAGUGGACGUAUAGGGUGUGAUGCCUGCCCGGUGCUGGAAGGUUAAUUGAUGGGGUUAGCGUAAGCGAAGCUCUUGAUCGAAGCCCCAGUAAACGGCGGCCGUAACUAUAACGGUCCUAAGGUAGCGAAAUUCCUUGUCGGGUAAGUUCCGACCUGCACGAAUGGCAUAAUGAUGGCGGCGCUGUCUCCAGCAGAGGCUCAGUGAAAUCGAAAUCGCUGUGAAGAUGCAGUGUACCCGCGGCUAGACGGAAAGACCCCGUGAACCUUUACUGCAGCUUGACACUGAACUUUGACCUUACUUGUGUAGGAUAGGUGGGAGGCUUUGAAGCUGGAACGCUAGUUCCAGUGGAGCCGUCCUUGAAAUACCACCCUGGUAAUGUUGAGGUUCUAACUCUGUCCCGUGAUCCGGGACGAGGACCGUGUCUGGUGGGUAGUUUGACUGGGGCGGUCUCCUCCUAAAGAGUAACGGAGGAGUACGAAGGUGCGCUCAGCGUGGUCGGAAAUCACGCGUAGAGUAUAAAGGCAAAAGCGCGCUUAACUGCGAGACCCACAAGUCGAGCAGGUACGAAAGUAGGUCUUAGUGAUCCGGUGGUUCUGUAUGGAAGGGCCAUCGCUCAACGGAUAAAAGGUACUCUGGGGAUAACAGGCUGAUACCGCCCAAGAGUUCAUAUCGACGGCGGUGUUUGGCACCUCGAUGUCGGCUCAUCUCAUCCUGGGGCUGAAGCAGGUCCCAAGGGCAUGGCUGUUCGCCAUUUAAAGAGGUACGCGAGCUGGGUUUAGAACGUCGUGAGACAGUUCGGUCCCUAUCUACCGUGGGCGCUGGAAAUUUGAGAGGAUCUGCUCCUAGUACGAGAGGACCAGAGUGGACGAACCUCUGGUGUACCGGUUGUGACGCCAGUCGCAUCGCCGGGUAGCUAUGUUCGGAAGGGAUAACCGCUGAAAGCAUCUAAGCGGGAAGCCUACCUCAAGAUAAGAUUUCCCUAGGACUUUAUGUCCUCUAAAGAGCCGUUCGAGACUAGGACGUUGAUAGGUUGGAUGUGGAAGCAUAGUGAUAUGUGAAGCUGACCAAUACUAAUUGCUCGUGAGGCUUGACUA